This 439-nucleotide ribosomal RNA is filed under the name uncultured bacterium. RNAcentral describes it as "bacterial LSU rRNA". It matches the Rfam family "Bacterial large subunit ribosomal RNA", at positions 874 to 1313 of the family's 2925-position model. The record is from RNAcentral.
GGGCAGCCUCGGAUGUUCCGUGCGCGAGGUAGAGCUACCGAUGGAGCUAGGGCGGGACCCCUCGUUCCGAACUCCGACGAACUCCGAAUGCGCGUACGCCAAAUCCGGGAGUGAGGCGCGGGGUGCAAAGGUCACGCGCCGAGAGGGGAACAACCCAGACCGCCUGCUAAGGCCCCCAAGUGCGGAUUGAGUCGGAAAAACGAGGUGCGGGCGCACAGACAGCCGGGACGUUAGCUUGGAAGCAGCUAUUCGUUUAAAGAGUGCGUAACAGCUCACCGGUCGAGCGCCCGCGCGCGGAUAAUAAACGGGCGUCAAAUCCGCCGCCGAAGCAGCGGGUCGGCGCAAGCCGACGGUAGGAGAGCGAUCCGCGCGCCGGGAAGCGGCGACCGCGAGGCGCCGUGGAGCGCGCGGAUGCGAAAAUGUAGGAAUGAGUAACGAU